This 770-nucleotide ribosomal RNA is filed under the name uncultured bacterium. RNAcentral's name for it is "bacterial SSU rRNA". It matches the Rfam family "Bacterial small subunit ribosomal RNA", at positions 8 to 796 of the family's 1533-position model. The record is from RNAcentral.
AGAGUUUGAUCAUGGCUCAGGACGAACGCUGGCGGCGUGCUUAACACAUGCAAGUCGAGCGGAAAGGCCCUUCGGGGUACUCGAGCGGCGAACGGGUGAGUAACACGUGAGCAACCUGCCCUCAGCUCUGGGAUAGCUCCCGGAAACGGGAAUUAAUACCGGAUACGACCCUGACUGACAUCGGUCAGGGUGGAAAGGAUUCCGGCUGAGGAUGGACUCGCGGCCUAUCAGCUAGUUGGUGAGGUAACGGCCCACCAAGGCGACGACGGGUAGCCGGCCUGAGAGGGCGACCGGCCACACUGGGACUGAGACACGGCCCAGACUCCUGCGGGAGGCAGCAGUGGGGAAUAUUGCGCAAUGGGCGAAAGCCUGACGCAGCGACGCCGCGUGGGGGAUGAAGGCCUUCGGGUUGUAAACCCCUUUCGGCAGGGACGAAGCGAGAGUGACGGUACCUGCAGAAGAAGCGCCGGCUAACUACGUGCCAGCAGCCGCGGUAACACGUAGGGCGCAAGCGUUGUCCGGAAUUAUUGGGCGUAAAGAGCUCGUAGGCGGUCUGUUGCGUCUGCUGUGAAAACCCGGGGCUUAACCCCUGGCUUGCAGUGGAUACGGACAGACUAGAGGUAGGUAGGGGAGAAUGGAAUUCCCGGUGUAGCGGUGAAAUGCGCAGAUAUCGGGAGGAACACCGGUGGCGAAGGCGGUUCUCUGGGCCUUACCUGACGCUGAGGAGCGAAAGCGUGGGGAGCGAACAGGAUUAGAUACCCUAGUAGUCC